UCAGACGAUGCGUCAUGCAUAUCAAUAAGCGGAGGAAAAGAAACUAACAAGGAUUCCCCUAGUAACGGCGAGUGAAGCGGGAAGAGCUCAAAUUUGAAUCUUAAAGGGUUUCCCUUUACGAAUUGUAGUUUAAAGAGGUGUUUUCUGUUGAGGUUUUGGUAAAAGUUCUUUGGAAUAGGACAUCAUAGAGGGUGAGAAUCCCGUAUUUGACCUUUACUUUCAACUUUGUGAUACACUUUCAAAGAGUCGGAUUGUUUGGGAAUGCAGUCCAAAAUGGGUGGUAAAUUUCAUCUAAAGCUGAAUAUUGGCGAGAGACCGAUAGCGAACAAGUACCGUGAGGGAAAGAUGAAAAGAACUUUGAAAAGAGAGUUAAACAGUACGUGAAAUUGUCAAAAGGGAAGCGUUUGACACCAGUGUUGUUUUUCUGAAAAUCAAUUAAAGAACUGUUUAUGCUAAGUUGUUUAGACUUUAUCAGCUAUCUGUUUAGUUUUGAGCUUUUCUUUAAUGCACUUUUCAGUUAACAAGUCAACAUCAAUUUCUUUUGCUGUAAAAAAGCUUGAGGAAGGUGGCUUGAGAUUCGUCUUAAGUGUUUAUAGCCUCUUGCCUAUGCAGUCGGAGAGAUUGAGGUCUGCAGCGUAGAUCCUUCGGGGCUAAAUGCAUUUGUGCUAAGUUAUAGCAUUUUAUAGACAACUUGUUGACUAUGAUUUGUCUUGUAGCUUACUCGCUUAUGUUAUUUUACCUACGCUUAGGAUGUUGAGCGCAUGUCUCUCUCU
This 773-nucleotide ribosomal RNA is filed under the name uncultured Neocallimastigales. RNAcentral's name for it is "partial large subunit ribosomal RNA". It matches the Rfam family "Eukaryotic large subunit ribosomal RNA", at positions 18 to 616 of the family's 3401-position model. The record is from RNAcentral. Lineage: Eukaryota; Fungi; Neocallimastigomycota; Neocallimastigomycetes; Neocallimastigales.